Molecule: unclassified non-coding RNA, 172 nt
Filed under: soil metagenome
Description: partial internal transcribed spacer 1
Source: RNAcentral
CAGAGUUGCAAAACUCCCACAAACCAUCGCGAACCUUACCCGUACGGUUGCCUCGGCGCUGGCGGUCCUUCGGGACCCUCGGGCCUCCCGCUCGCGGGAGGCUGCCCGCCGGAGUGCCGAAGCCAAACUCUUGAUAUUCUAUGUCUCUCUGAGUAAACUUUUAAAUAAGUCA